Molecule: long non-coding RNA, 8281 nt
Filed under: Elaeis guineensis (African oil palm)
Lineage: Eukaryota; Viridiplantae; Streptophyta; Magnoliopsida; Arecales; Arecaceae
Description: long non-coding RNA (EGUI_LNC055177)
Source: RNAcentral
CUUUAAUUUCCUUCUAAUUCUCUUCCUAAACUCUUGUCUUAAAGUGGGGCAGACUUGUCUUAAUUUUAAGACAAUGACUUAACAAGACAAGGAAGAGGACUAUCGGAAAGAGUUGGGAAUGUCUUGAACUGAUCUGCCGCCUCCUAUUUAUAGCAACAGAAGGGGUGUAGAAGGGGUCUAGAUACAUUUUCACGGAGUCCCUUAAUCAGCGUAUUAGAAAUUAAGAGUCUUAUUUGAGAAGGACUUUUAAUUAUAAGAUACGAUGAUUCAGCCUUCUCUCACAUCCCUUGCACGUACCAGCAAUUGGGAGACACCAUAUGCACCUCAAACCAUCUCAGAAAAUUCUGAAAUUUUGCCGUGUGGUAGCCACUUGAAUCAGGAUUCUAAUGGCACAAAAAUCAAAGCAUGACAAUAUCCCAAUCGUGAGAAAGAAAUGCGUGAAGUGGCGACUCUUCGCAUUUCUCACUACUGCGAGUGCGCAGAUCUUUGGGGCAUCUCACACCCCAUCUGGCCAUGGCACAUUUUAAACUUUAUGCCUUGCAGAUAGAGGGUUGAGAGGGCUUCAUCAUAGGCAUGGAGAUCAGAUAAGAAGAUUUAAAACCCCUUCAUCGAUCAAAAUAAAUGCAGCCUUAUCAUUUUGUGCGCUUGACUUGAUAGAGUCCUAACCGACUUGGACUCUAUAUAUGGCGCCCCAAAUGGCUGAAAAAUAUCCAAUAAAAUCUAGAUAAAUCUGGUCCAAGUCAGAACCUAACCCAAUUUAAUUAAUAGACCAAUUGGGUUAGCCAAUUCAAUAAGAUUUUGACCAAACCAGCUCGAUUUAGGAGCUAGAGUUUGUGUCAUAUGUGCUAGCAUGUUUUUUGACAACCCUAGUUGGUUUUUUUGGUCCAACCAACCUACCAAAAUCGGUUCUUAAAUAAUUUUCUAAUGUGUGUGAUCUUAUGGGUUCUACAUCUAGCCAGCAGUAGGUCCGGAUGCAUGUUGACCUGAUUAGAUUAGAUUCCAUCUAAUCGAUUUAGGUCAAAUCUAUGUCAACUCGAGUUGUCAAAUUAGAACUUUUUCUAAUUGACUCAUAAAUUAAUCACUUCAAUUCAUGAAAUCUACAAGACAUAAUUGACGUCUAGCAACGUGUCAUGCCUACCCAGAAGAUGUGAAAUUUGGUAAAAAUUAUUAAAAUAUCCUUCAUUGGUAAGUUACCGUAUAAUUCAAUCUUUCGAUCAUCCUGCAUCUCGAAUAUAUUCAUGAGUAUAGAAUUAUGUCAAACUCAAAUAUAUAUUCCUAUUGAUUCAUCGUCAAUCAAUGAUAACUCUAAUGAAGAAGUAGAAAUCAUUUCUAAUCUUCAUACUGCUUUGGUCAAAGAUUUCUUGAGUUAUCUAGAGAUGAGAAUACAUAGGAUGUCUUCUCUUACUCGGAGCGAUCGAUUCUUUAUUGAUUUACUCACAACCUUCAUACAUAAUCCAUCAAAUCCAGAAUAUCUCAUUUAUGACUUUGGUCAUGAUUGAGUAUGAACCAAAAUAUGGAUUCACGUGCAUAAGAUUUCAUGGUGAUCUCAGAUUUAAGGAUCACUUACACAACUCCUAUUUAAAGAACUAUUUUUUGACAUGUAAGGCUUUCAUAAGAUAUUUUCUCGAUGGAUCAAAUUAGUGUACUCAUAUCCUAAUGAGCAUCCAUAUCCUUGUAUUAGUAUUCCUACAUAAGUGGUUGUGAAAUCAACCACCCUCUCCAUCGAGCAUACAUAGGAUGUGCUAGUCUUUUUGGAUUCAUUGAUCUCCGACUCAAUGAUCCAACGACUAGGAUUAUUUUAGAUUAGAAUUUUAGGAUUUUAGAUCUCACUGACAUGAACCCUACAUGUCCAUAAAAUCAUUGCUCUAAUCUAUGGGAUUCAUCAUAAUCUUAAAAAUUAUUAAGACACAGCAAAUGAUGAAUCAAAAAAAUAUCUCUUUAUUAUUGAUUAAUAAUAAAUAUCAUACAUGAGUUGGGAGUAAUUAUAAAAAAAAUCCUAUCACAUAUCAAAUGCGAUUGGCUUGCAGGAUAAUUUUUUCAGUCUCCCAUUUGCACUAAAGCCAAUCACCCUUGUAUUUAACAUCCAUACAAUCAAGGUGGCGAUCAAGUUGCUGUUGAGAAAGUGCUUUAGUGAAUGGGUCUGUUGUGUUCUUCGUAUCUACUCGUUCGAUGACUACGUCUUGUCUUUCAACAAUCUCACGAACGAGGUGGAAGCGCCUUAGGAUGUGUUUGGACUUUUGGUAAGAUCUUGGUUCCUUAGCUUGUGCAACAGCUCUAGUGUUAUUACAAAAUAAUGGUAUCGCAUGUUGAAUCUCAAGAACUACGCCCAAUUCGGUGAUGUAUUUUUUCAUCCAGAAAGCUUUCUUAGCUGCUUUACUAACGACAAUAUAUUCUGUCUCAGUGACCGAGUUAGCUACAGUUUGCUGUUUGGUACUUUUUCAACUCACUGCACCACCAUUCAAAAUAAAUACAUAUCUUGAUAUGGAUUUACAAUCAUCUGGAUCUGAUUGAAAACUAGAGUUAGUAAAGCCUUCUAGUUUCAACUCUAAUCCUUCAUAAACUAGAAAAACAUCUUUAGUUCUUCUAAGAUACUUUAGAAUAUUUUUCACAGCUUUCCAAUGAUCCUCCUUCGGAUUAGUCUGAAACCUACUUACUAUGCCUAUGGUAUAAGCAAUAUCAGGUCUGGUACAUAAUAUGGUAUACAUGAUAGAUUCUACAGCCGAAGCAUAAAGAAUUCUACUCAUCAUUUGUCUCUCUUCAGGUUUCUCUCUUCAGGUGUCUUAAGAGACAUCUUCUUAAAGAGAUGUAUGCCUUGACUCAUAGGCAAGUAACUUCUUUUACUUACAUCCAUGUUGAAUCUUUUCAACACCAAGUCAAUAUACCUAGAUUGGGAUAAGCUAAGCAAUCUCUUAGAUCUAUCUCUAUAGAUCUUUAUAUCUAAUAUAUAGGAUGCUUCUCCUAAAUCUAUCAUGAAAAAUUUUUUAGAUAGCCAAACUUUGAUCGAUUGUAACAUCGGGAUAUCAUUCCCAAUGAUAAGUAUGCCAUCAAUAUACAAGACUAAGAAGACUGUGGUAUUUUCACUUAUCUUCUUAUAUACACAUGACUCAUAAAUAUUUUUGAUAAAAUCAAACUCCUUUAUGGUUUCAUUAAAAUGGAUGUUCCCACUCCUUGAGACUUGCUUCAAUCUAUAAAUGGAUCUCUUUAGCUUGCAUACUUGAUUUGAUCUCCCACUUGAGACAAACCCCUCUGACCGUGAUAUAUAAACUUCUUCCUCAAGAUUCUCAUUGAGAAAAGUAGUUUUUAUCUCUAUUUGUCAGAUUUCAUAAUCAUAAUAUGCAGCUAUAGCAAGCAUAAUUCGAAUGACUUGAGCAUUGCUGCUGGUGAAAAAAUUUCAUCAUAGUCAAUUUUCUGUCUUUGCUUGCCAUCAGCCUAGCCUUGUAGGUUUCUACUUGACCAUCUGCUCCAAUCUUCUUCUUGAAGACCCAUUUGCACCCUAUUGGGGUUACACCCUCAGGUGCAUCAAUCAAAGUCUAUACUUGGUUGGAGUACAUGGAGUCCAUCUCAGAUUUCAUGGCUUCAUGCCAUUUAUUAGAGUCCCUACUCUGGAUAGCAUCCGUAUAGGUCACAGGAUCAUCAUCCUGAAUGAUAUGGGCUUCAUUGUCAUUUCCAAUGACAAAACUAUAUCUUAAAGGUACAUUCCAUAUUCUUUCUGAUCUUCGGAGAGGUGUGUUUUGUGGAUGUUCUUGAUCAACAAGUUCAAUUGGUUUAGGAAUUUCAUAUUGAGGAUCAGAUGAGGUAGAUUGUAGGUUUUGAAAUUCACUUAGUUCAAUCAUCCUCCCACUUUCCUUUUGUUGGACAAAUUUUUUUUCAAGAAAAUAAUGUCUACUGACAACAAUUUUUUGUUUAGUAGGAUGAUAAAAGAGGUAUCUAAUACCUUCUUGAGGAUAACCUAUAAAUCUACAUUUGUCAGCCCUAGCAUUUAUGUUCAAAAGUAUUUUUGACAUAAGCAAAAUAUCCCUAAAUCUUAAAAUAUUUAUGAUUUGACUUUUUUUUAUUUUCAUAACUCAUAUGGAGUGCUGGUUACUAACUUAGAUGGUACUCUAUUCAAGAUGUAAGCAGCUGUUUCUAGGGCAUAUCAUUAGAAAGAUACGAAAAGAUCCGUGAAGCACAUUAUGGACUGCACCAUAUCUAAUAAAAUGCGAUUUCUCCUUUCUGCUUCACCAUUUAACUAUGGCGUAUAAGGAAGUGUCCAUUCAGAGAGAAUUUUAUAUCCUUUAAGAUGAUCAAAAAAUUUAUUGGAUAAGUAUUCGCCACCUCGAUCAGAUUGAAGGAUUUUAAUACUUUUUUCAAUUUGAUUUUCGACCAUCUUUUGAUAUUCUUUAAACUUAUCAAAGACCUCGGAUUUUGUUUCAUGAGAUACACAUAUCCAUAUUUUGAUAAGUCAUCUGUAAAAGUUAUAAAAUAAGAAUAUCCAUCUCUAGCUUGAGUUGUCAUAGAUCCAUAAAUAUUUGAAUGUAUAAGACCUAACAAUUCAUUUGUCCUUUCUCCAUGUCCUGUGAAUGGAGUUUUGGUUAUCUUAUCCAUGAGAUAAGAUUUAUAAGUUUCAAAUGAUUCAAAAUCAUUAGAAUCAAAUAAUUCUUUUUUGUACAACUAGUGUAAUUUUGACUCACUAAUAUGAUCCAAUCGGCAAUGCUAGAGAUAUGAAUUAUUCUCAUCAUCUCUCUUUCUUUUUUUAUUAUUAUCAAUAAGAAAAAUAUUAUAAUUGAGCAGAAGAGUAAAGAGACCAUUAUCCAUAUAUGCAUUGCCCAAAAAUUCAUUAAAAUAGAAAAUAAAGCAACAAUUACUCUUAGCCUUUAUUUUAUAUCCAUAUUCUAAUAAUAAGGGUACAGAAAUAAUAUUUCUAAUGACAUUGGGUAUGUAAUAAUAGUCUUGUAACUCCAAUGUCUUGCCAGAUGGCAAUGACCAUAUACAGGUGCCCACAGCUUCUGCCUUAAUGGGUUCACCAUUCGCGUCAUAAAGCUUGAAGUCAUCUUUGUUUAAACUUCUAAUUUUUUGUAGUUCUUGUAAUGAUUUGUAUAUUUGAGACCCACAUGCAGUAUCCAAUAUCCAUGAAUUAAAAGUUGAAGCACUCAAUGAUAAACUAAUUUGUAUCAUGUACAAACCUUUCGAUGCUCCACUUGCAUCAUGCUUCAAACUUGCAAGGUAGCUCUUGCAAUUCAUCUUCCAGUGCCCCUGCUUAUCGCAGUGAUAAUAGGCAUCAUUUGUGAAGUCUUUCUUCACUUUCUUCUUCUUCUGCAUGCUACUUUUAGGGUUUUGCUCUCUUAGAAUCCUUUCUAUCUACCAUCAUCCUCUUCUUCUCAAUUAGAAGAAGAGGAGCUUUUUCUGAUUUGAAAUGGCUCUCAACUGUUUUCAAUAUGUUUAACAACUCUGGUAGGGUAGUAUUUAGUUUGUUCAUAUGGUAAUUUAUGACAAACUGAGAGAACAAAUCAGGGAGUGACUGCAGGAUCAAGUUCUGAUUCAGCUCUCCAUUCAUGACAAACCUCAAUUGACUUAAGCGGGUGAUUAAGUCAAUAAUCUUUAGAACAUGGGUCUGCAUAGAUGAGCUCUCACUCAUUCUGACUCAUAUCUCAUAUUGAGCAGUCCUGCUUUGCUCUCCAUAUAACUCUUUAAGAUUGAGUAAUAUGGACUGAGGUUUCAGUCCUUAUGUUGCUUCUGCAACUCAUUGCUUAUUGAGGCCAAUAUGAUACAUUUGACAGUCAAACUGUCAUUUUGUCACAUCUUAUAUGUGGCCCUUUCUUCUGUAGCAUCUUCUCCGAUUGGCUCGGGAUCCAGAGAGUUGAGGAUGUAGGAGACUUUCUCCUGAGUUAACACGAUCCUUAAAUUCCUUAAUCAAUCCACAUAAUUAGGACCGAUCAAUUUGUUGGUAUCUAAAAUGCCCUGCAGUGAUAGUGAAGAAGCCAUUGAAAUUAAUCUACAUUAAAUAAAGAACAACAUAUAAGCAGAUCACUCAAAAUGACAAACACAACUAAAUGAGGACUUCAUAAAUCUAAUUGUAUCUCUCACUAUUUUAUUACGAAUACCAUUGCCCUCACCUAUGGUAAAUGAGAAACCCUACCUUAAUUUCUUUAGUAGGGUUGAGAUCUCAAUUCCUGGCAAAUGUCUUGUGUUACACAACAAAUAUUCAUGAGUUCAAGGGUAGAAAAUUUCUUUUUCCAAUUGCAACCAAUGUAAUUCUCAACAUAACUCCUACUUCUAAGACACUUGUAGUCUUGUGUUACACAAUAAACUAUGAUGUCUUAGUUGAGUCAGAUCCUUCAUUUUUUUAUAUAGCCAUAUUUGAAUAAUAUUGCCUUUGUGUGACACAACAAAGCAACAUCAUCAAACAUGCCAUAAAGCAUUAUUUGCACUAAGACAAUCUCACAUCAAUCCCUAUAGUAAGUCUUGUGUUACACAACAAACCUACCAUAGUUUUUGAUAUGAUUUUGACCUAGCAUGAAGGAAGACAUUAGUAGUGUCCUGAUCAUUAAGCAUUUUCAAUUCAAGAUUUAAAUAAAUCGAAUUGGCCAAGUGGAAGAGAGGUGGGAGGCCCUCUGUUCUUGCCUUAGAUACCAAAAGAUUUGACCAAGUAAGAAAUGAACUUAAUUAAAAACCACCAGUUCUUUAUCUUCUUAGAACCACUUUUCUAGACACCAAUUAAUCACUCAUUUUUUAAAUGGAUUUGCUUUUGAUUUUCAACACUACAACUAAAUAUAAUUUUUAAGAGGACUUUAAUGGUCUCAAAUACACAUCCUAUCUUACUUUAUCAAAUUAUAUCUCAUACUAUAUCAUAUUAUGAAAAACAUAACAUGAUAAUUAUAACAAUAGCAUGCUGUGCCAGAUGUGUAGUAUUUACAUCAUUAUUAUAGACAAUCUAAUUUCAGAAUGAUGACUAACUUAUGCUAAACAUAUCACUAAUAUUGAUUAGGGUUUAUGUGAAACACCUAAUCAGUGAGAAUCAACAAUACAUAAUGUAUUACUAGUAUGCUACUUAUAUGAACAUGACUUGCAUAUCAUAUAUCAUAACGUCAAAUUGACUAUUAAUUGAAUCAAUCAAGGUUGCUUUGAUACCACUGUUGGGUUCAGAUAGCGCAACGGAAUAGUGGAGUUCAAAAUUUAUGGUCAUGAAAUCCAUAACACCCGAAACUCUAGACCCAAGAUCUCUUGACUAAUUGCAAUUAAUGAACAACUAAUAAAGCAAUUAAGAAAUAGUUUAGAUAAAUACCUCUUAUGCUAAAUUCCCAAAUCUCCACAGACACACAAGCGUGUAUGCCCUCCACAGGUGAUCCAUAAGGAAAUUGCUCCAAGAACAGGACUCUUUGCGCUAAAACUUUGUUGAUGAGUUCUAACCAAUAGAACUCGGUUGGACCCAAUUUGAUCAAACCCACAUUUUGACUUAGACUUGACCUCUCUUUGACUUGGAUUUGGACUCCUAAACCCUCUCUUUCUUCCUUUAAUUUCUUUCUACUUCUCUUCCUAAACUCUUGUCUUAAAAUGGGACAGAUUUGUCUUAAUUCUAAGAUAAUGUCUUAACAAGACAAAGAAAAGAACUAUCGGAAAGAGUUGGGCAUGCCUUGAAUUGAUCUGCCGCCCUCUAUUUAUAGCAACAGAAGGGGCAUAGAAGGGGUCCAGAUAUACUCUUUCAUGGAGUUCCUUGAUCAGCGUAUCAGAAAUUAAGAGUCUUAUUGAGGACUCUUAAUUCUAAGAUAUGGUGAUUCAGCCUUCUCUCGCGUCCCCUGCGCAUACCAGUAAUUAGGAGAUGCCAUAUGCACCUCAAACCAUCUCAGAAAAUUUUGAGAUUUUGCCACAUGGUAGCCACUUGAAUCAGGAUUCUAAUGGCACAAAAAUUAAAGCAUGACAAUAUCCCAAUCGUGAGAAAGAAAUGCGUGAAGUCGCGACUCUUCGCGUUUUUCACUGCUGUGUGCGUGCACAUCUUUAGGGCAUCUCACGCCCCAUCUGGCCAUGGCACACUUUAAACUUUGUACCAUGCAGAUAGAGGGUUGAGAGGGCUUCAUCAUAGGCAUGGAGAUCAGAUAAGAAGAAGAUUUAAAACCCCUUCACCGAUCAAAAAAAAUUCAGUCUUAUCAUUUUAUGUGCCUGACUUGAUAGAGUCCUAACCAACUUGGAUUUUAUAUAUGGCGCCCCAAAUGGUUGAAAAAUAUCCAAUAAAAUCCAGAUAGAUCUGGUCCAAGUCCGAACCUAACCUAAUUUAAUUAAUAGCCCAAUUGGGUUAGCCAAUUCAACA